Molecule: ribosomal RNA, 253 nt
Filed under: uncultured bacterium
Lineage: Bacteria
Description: partial 16S ribosomal RNA
Rfam family: Bacterial small subunit ribosomal RNA
Source: RNAcentral
UACAGAGACUGCAAGCGUUAUUCGGAUUCACUGGGCGUAAAGGGUGCGCAGGCGGCCAUGUGUGUGAGGCGUGAAAGCCCGGGGCUUAACCCCGGAAUUGCACCUCAAACUAUUUGGCUAGAGCAUUGGAGAGGGAAGCGGAAUUCACGGUGUAGCAGUGAAAUGCGUAGAUAUCGUGAGGAACACCAGAGGCGAAGGCGGCUUCCUGGACAAUUGCUGACGCUCAGGCACGAAAGCGUGGGGAGCAAACAGG